This 660-nucleotide ribosomal RNA is filed under the name human gut metagenome. Its description in RNAcentral is "bacterial SSU rRNA". It matches the Rfam family "Bacterial small subunit ribosomal RNA", at positions 542 to 1206 of the family's 1533-position model. The record is from RNAcentral.
UAUCCGGAUUUAUUGGGUUUAAAGGGUGCGUAGGCGGUUUGAUAAGUUAGAGGUGAAAUUUCGGGGCUCAACCCUGAACGUGCCUCUAAUACUGUUGAGCUAGAGAGUAGUUGCGGUAGGCGGAAUGUAUGGUGUAGCGGUGAAAUGCUUAGAGAUCAUACAGAACACCGAUUGCGAAGGCAGCUUACCAAACUAUAUCUGACGUUGAGGCACGAAAGCGUGGGGAGCAAACAGGAUUAGAUACCCUGGUAGUCCACGCAGUAAACGAUGAUAACUCGUUGUCGGCGAUACACAGUCGGUGACUAAGCGAAAGCGAUAAGUUAUCCACCUGGGGAGUACGUUCGCAAGAAUGAAACUCAAAGGAAUUGACGGGGGCCCGCACAAGCGGAGGAACAUGUGGUUUAAUUCGAUGAUACGCGAGGAACCUUACCCGGGCUUGAAAGUUAGCGACGAUUCUUGAAAGAGGAUUUCCCUUCGGGGCGCGAAACUAGGUGCUGCAUGGUUGUCGUCAGCUCGUGCCGUGAGGUGUCGGGUUAAGUCCCAUAACGAGCGCAACCCCUACCGUUAGUUGCCAUCAGGUCAAGCUGGGCACUCUGGCGGGACUGCCGGUGUAAGCCGAGAGGAAGGUGGGGAUGACGUCAAAUCAGCACGGCCCUUACG